CUCUAAAUGCUGUCUUCCAUAUCCCCUUGAAGUAAAUGGCAUUCACAAGGACCAGCGCAGUAUGGAGAUCAACCGAGCCUGGCUCAAGGAAAUUUUGGAUCUGUCCUUUAAGGAAGAAGGAGGGCAGAGAGUGGUCUGCAUGUGGAAUUCAGGUUCAUGAGGAUGAUUUAAUAGAGAGCAACUGGCACCUGGCCAGCUAUUUCUGCAAGAAGACAGUUGUUCUUUCCACCUGGAAGGAAUCAAGUCUGGG
Molecule: long non-coding RNA, 250 nt
Organism: Chroicocephalus ridibundus (black-headed gull)
Lineage: Eukaryota; Metazoa; Chordata; Aves; Charadriiformes; Laridae
Exons: 3
Source: RefSeq, a predicted model, not a curated record